Non-coding RNA from Oncorhynchus mykiss (rainbow trout), 709 nucleotides. NCBI's taxonomy places the organism in Eukaryota, Metazoa, Chordata, Actinopteri, Salmoniformes, Salmonidae. The record is from RefSeq and is a predicted model, not a curated record.
GCAUGGUCCUAGGGCUCAGGUCCUCCGAGAGAGAGAAAGAAAGAGAGAAUUAGAGAGAGCAUAUGUGGGAUGGCCAGUCCUCUUCUGGCUGUGCCGGGUGGAGAUUAUAACAGAACAUAGCUAAGUGUCUGGCACAUUUACUUGGUUCUGGAUAGACUACAUAAGGACAGAGAAUGACAUGUCUUCUGAUACUAUCACAGGUUGUAAGACGAGCCUAACUGAUACUAUCACAGGUUGUAAGACGAGCCUAACUGAUACUAUCACAGGUUGUAAGACGAGCCUAACUGAUACUAUCACAGGUUGUAAGACGAGCCUAACUGAUUCUAUCACAGGUUGUAAGACGAGCCUAACGGAUACUAUCACAGGUUGUAAGACGAGCCUAACUGAUACUAUCACAGGUUGUAAGACGAGCCUAACUGAUUCUAUCACAGGUUGUAAGACGAGCCUAACGGAUACUAUCACAGGUUGUAAGACGAGCCUAACUGAUACUAUCACAGGUUGUAAGACGAGCCUAACUGAUAGGCGGGACUGACAGCACUGUUCAUCAAAGCUCAAGCUUGUAAUACAAGCAAGCAUAUUCUGAAUGACCUUCUCAGUCAGGACAGAGCUGAAUCUGUUGUCAGGACCACACUGGUUUGGUCAUUUAAAAGGAAAACGCCAUGCAUUCCUUACCGACAUUAGACCCCCCCCCCCAACAAAAAAAAAAAAA